This 711-nucleotide long non-coding RNA is filed under the name Sorghum bicolor (sorghum). Its description in RNAcentral is "long non-coding RNA (SBIC_LNC016642)". The record is from RNAcentral. Lineage: Eukaryota; Viridiplantae; Streptophyta; Magnoliopsida; Poales; Poaceae.
ACACACAUAUCAAUGAAGAUCGAUCGACAUAUCUAUUAUUUAGGCCUUGUUUAGUUGCCACAAAAACCAACAUUAUUUUAAGAUUCUCUGUCACAUUGAAUCCUACGACACAUGCAUGGAACAUUAAAUAUAGAUAAAAACAAAAACUAAUUGCACAGUUUGCAUGUAAAUCGCGAGACGAAUCUUUUAAAUCUAGUUACUUCAUGAUUAGUCAAUGUUUGUCAAAUAAAAACGAAAGUGCUGCCGAAGCGAAAUUCAAAAAAUUUUCACAACUAAACAAGACCUUAUUCUGCUUAACACAGCUUCUCCUGAUUUUGACUUGACCACGACAUAGGCCUUGUUUAGUUGACCCUGAAAACCAAAAAGUUUUCAAGAUUUCCCGUCACAUCGAAUCUUGUAUCACAUACAUGAAAAAUCAAAUAUAGACAAAAACAAAAACUAAUUACACAGUUUAGCUGUAAAUCACGAGACGAAUCUUUUAUCCUAGUUAGUCCAUGAUUGGAUAAUAUUUGUCACAAACAAACGAAAAUGCUACAAUACCGAAAACUUUUCACUUUUCGGAACUUUCGUGUGGAAAGCAGGGACGAAGGAGGAGGAGCUCGAGGACAUUAAAAAGAAAAAAGAAAAGCGCCGAGCGCGGUUUAGGGGCCAGGCUGCCAGAGAAUGUGCGGCUGCGCGCGUCGUCGUCGUCCUCUGUACUGUACAGCACCG